This 229-nucleotide ribosomal RNA is filed under the name uncultured bacterium. RNAcentral's name for it is "partial 16S ribosomal RNA". It matches the Rfam family "Bacterial small subunit ribosomal RNA", at positions 568 to 796 of the family's 1533-position model. The record is from RNAcentral.
UCCGUAGGCGGGAAUCUAAGUCAGUGGUGAAAUCUUACAGCUCAACUGUAAAAUUGCCAUUGAUACUGGAUUUCUUGAAUUAGUGUGAAGUGGUUAGAAUGUGUAGUGUAGCGGUGAAAUGCAUAGAUAUUACACAGAAUACCAAUUGCGAAGGCAGAUCACUAACACUAUAUUGACGCUGAGGGACGAAAGCGUGGGUAGCGAACAGGAUUAGAUACCCUGGUAGUCC